UACGGAGGGCUCAAGCGUUGUUCGGAUUCAUUGGGCGUAAAGGGUGUGUAGGCGGCGCGCUAAGUCGGGUGUGAAAUUUCGGAGCUUAACUCCGAAACUGCAUUCGAUACUGGCGGGCUUGAGGACUGGAGAGGAGACUGGAAUUCAUGGUGUAGCAGUGAAAUGCGUAGAGAUCAUGAGGAAGACCAGUGGCGAAGGCGGGUCCCUGGACAGUUCCUGACACUGAGACACGAAGGCCAGGGGAGCAAACGGG
This 253-nucleotide ribosomal RNA is filed under the name uncultured bacterium. Its description in RNAcentral is "partial 16S ribosomal RNA". It matches the Rfam family "Bacterial small subunit ribosomal RNA", at positions 524 to 776 of the family's 1533-position model. The record is from RNAcentral.